ACACAAUCAAUUACCUCCUGAAUGUAUCGUCUCUAUUUCUAAUAUUUGAACAUACAAGGAAACUAUAAUCUCCUCCUUCACCUUACCGGUCUCUUCCUUACAGCAAUUCAGUCAUACCAAUAACUGCUAUUUCCACCAAUAUAUUCACCCUCAUAAUCUCCAACUGUAAUACUGCGCCCUCACAACUUUCAACACACAAUUAUCCUCGUUCCAAUCACUGGAAUUCUUCACACAAAACUGCCAUUCAUAUUAUGGUAUUUUACACAAACACAGACUCAUUUUCUCUGCUGAAUUACAAUCAGAUUUCAGCAUUCAAUCUUUCUUCUUCACAAAUAGUACCAAUUACAUUUCCAUUCCAUAAUUCACUUCACAAUAUUCAGAAACUCUCAAUCCUCUUAUUCAAAGAAAAUAACAAACAAAAGAAAAGAGGUAGCACCAAGCUUAUCCCAACUCACACUAUCACAACGAUGGCCCUUAAUUAACUUCUACAACUCUUAUAUACUUUCCCUUGAUUCUCCAGAUUCUAACCGUAAUUCUGUAAUUAACUGCUUUUAAUAAAUAAAUCACUCAUCCGUCCUCCUAAAUUUCCUAUUAUAUGGACUAUCAAUAUCUUUUACCAAUAUCUUUCAAAAACGAAUUAAUAUCUAUUCUACACGUAUCAUCUUCAUCAUUAUAUUGUGCUUACGACAACAUAUCUACAACUACAUUGUUUUUUUUUAAAAAAUUCUUGAAUUUAGAAUUCAUAGACUUUAUACAUGCAAUCUACCUUAAUAUUGUAAUUUUUGGUGUUGAACAAUUUGUAAUUAUAUCCAAUAAAGGUAGACAAUCUCUUUCUAUAACUACUGAUGUAUCAAUUAAAUAAUUUCUUUCAUUUUUCAUAGCUAUUACUACACCCCAUUAUUCUCUUUUGAUUUGGGCAUAUGUCCUUUGCUUAGCAUUUAA
This 942-nucleotide long non-coding RNA is filed under the name Physcomitrium patens. Its description in RNAcentral is "long non-coding RNA (PPAT_LNC007656)". Lineage: Eukaryota; Viridiplantae; Streptophyta; Bryopsida; Funariales; Funariaceae. The record is from RNAcentral.